Molecule: long non-coding RNA, 1314 nt
Filed under: Leptinotarsa decemlineata (Colorado potato beetle)
Lineage: Eukaryota; Metazoa; Arthropoda; Insecta; Coleoptera; Chrysomelidae
Description: uncharacterized LOC111514517, transcript variant X2
Source: RNAcentral
UGAAAACAAAACAAGCACUACAAGUUUCAGUUCUGUGGUUAAAAGAAGAUGUUUGCCUUGUAGAUCAAAUUUAACAUUCAAUUGAAAAGGUACUUCAACGGGGUAUUGAAAAGCUACAGCUGUAGUCGGCUACAACAAUACAAUGACAUAGGGAAAAAUUUUAUGUUUGCCAGACCUACAAAUUAUAUGUAGGCCAAAUAGCGGCUUCAAGAAGGUCUUCAAAAUUACUAGAAUAGCCCUCCAGAAGUCACUCUAACACCUUGGAUCAGUAUAAGCUUUGAAUGACAUUUUCUUUAUUCCAGUCUCUUCCUUUGAAGGAGUAAUCAUAGUAUCUCUGGCCUUUUGACCACCUGACAUGUAACAUUAUUUUGAGAUGUUUCAGGUGCUUUUCAAAAGUUUUCCCGAUUCCAUUACUUUUUACAAGCAGAUAGCAACUUCUCCAUUUGAAGAUCUGAAAACUAAUUCUGGUACUGUUCCAAAUUCGAGCGUUAAAACUUCAAAAUUUUCCAAUAUUUUGAUUGGUUAAGCAUCACCGAUGUUAAUGUGAUGCUAUACAGAAUUUGUAUGGAGGUUGCUGUAGAUUGUGGUGGAUUGCUGAAAGUUCCUCUACUUUCAUUCAUUAUUCUUAUUAGCUUUGAGUUAUCCACAUGAUUGUGUGUAUACUUUCAUGUCUAAGCAUUUUCAAAAUCUCUACUUUGGCCACAUGGUCUCAGAGUGAUGGCAACGUUUUUAUGAACCAACUAAGAACAAAAUUACUCGUGUUGACAAAAACUGGAUAAUUGAAGAUAUAUUUCGGUAUAUUCAAAAUUGAGCAGUGAACAAAAAGUUUUAUACUUCAAAGAAGAUGAACACAAUAUUCAAUAUGAUAACAUAAAUUGUUGAAAGAGUUCGAUAAAGUACCGUCUAACAACUAGAAAAUAAUUUUUUUUGUCAACGAGUUUCGUCAUUUUGACCUUAUUUUGGCUGACAAAUGAUUGAAUAAUUUACUACCAAUACAAUAAAAUGAAUUGAAAAUUGAAUACUUUCAGAAGAGAUCAGUUUUUCAUAAAAGCUUUUUGGCUUCAUUCUGGUUCUUCAUCGUCAAACAAAAGUGUAGCAUUUUAUUCCAUAACAAAUGUUACGUAGCGCAAACUGAAUAGAGAAAGGUGAUUUUCGUGUCAUUCAAUGUUUGUAUGAAAGUACUUGUUUCAAAAGCAUUUUUUCUUUCGUGUAAUUCAAUGCUCAAGUGAAAGUAGGUGUUUUAGGAACGUUUUUUCUUCCAGUAUGCACUACAUACUGUUUGGCUAUGGAGAAGUGAAAAGUUAAUGUUUUUUU